CGGGUGCACUGAUCCAGCCGGGCCUUUCCCUCUGUGGAACCCCAUGGCCUUCACUGGCUGUGGUGGGGAAACAGGACUUUUACUUUGAAAAAAUUAGAGUGCUCCAGGCAGGCCUAUGCUCGAAUACAUUAGCAUGGAAUAAUAGAAUAGGACGUGUGGUUCUAUUUUGUUGGUUUCUAGGACCGCCGUAAUGAUUAAUAGGGGACAGUCGGGGGCAUCAGUAUUCAAUUGUCAGAGGGUGAGAUUCUUGGAUCUAUUGAAGACUAACUACUGCGAAAGCAUUUGCCAAGGAUGUUUUCAUUGAUAAGGAACGAAAGUUAGGGGAUCGAAGACGAUCAGAUACCGUCGUAGUCUUAACUAUAAACUAUGCCGACUAGGGAUCGGACGAUGUUAUUCUUUGACGCGUUCGGCACCUUUCGAGAAAUCAAAGUGCUUGGGCUCCAGGGGGAGUAUGGUCGCAAGGCUGAAACUUAAAGAAAUUGACGGAAGGGCACCACCAGGGGUGGAACCUGCGGCUUAAUUUGACUCAACACGGGGAAACUCACCAGGUCCAGACACAGUGAGGAUUGACAGAUUGAGAGCUCUUUCUUGAUUCUGUGGGUGGUGGUGCAUGGCCGUUCUUAGUUGGUGGAGUGAUUUGUCUGCUUAAUUGCGAUAACGAACGAGACCUUAACCUGCUAAAUAGCCCGUACUGCUUUGGCAGUUCGCCGGCUUCUUAGAGGGACUAUCGG
This 731-nucleotide ribosomal RNA is filed under the name uncultured eukaryote. RNAcentral describes it as "SSU rRNA". It matches the Rfam family "Eukaryotic small subunit ribosomal RNA", at positions 670 to 1426 of the family's 1831-position model. The record is from RNAcentral.